AUUGAACGCUGGCGGCAGGCUUAACACAUGCAAGUCGAACGAUGAAGAUAUAGCUUGCUAUAUCGGAUUAGUGGCGGACGGGUGAGUAACACUUAGGAAUCUACCUUUUAGCGGGGGAUAGCUCGGGGAAACUCGAAUUAAUACCGCAUAAUUUCUACGGAAUAAAGAGGGCUUUUAGCUCUCACUAGAAGAUGAGCCUAAGUAAGAUUAGCUAGUUGGUGGGGUAAAAGCCUACCAAGGCGACGAUCUUUAGCUGGUCUGAGAGGAUGAUCAGCCACACUGGGACUGAGACACGGCCCAGACUCCUACGGGAGGCAGCAGUGGGGAAUAUUGGACAAUGGGGGCAACCCUGAUCCAGCCAUGCCGCGUGUGUGAAGAAGGCCUUUUGGUUGUAAAGCACUUUAAGCAGUGAAGAAGACCUAUUGGCUAAUACCCAAUAGCGAUGACAUUAACUGCAGAAUAAGCACCGGCUAACUCUGUGCCAGCAGCCGCGGUAAUACAGAGGGUGCAAGCGUUAAUCGGAAUUACUGGGCGUAAAGCGAGCGUAGGUGGUUAAAUAAGUCAGAUGUGAAAGCCCUGGGCUCAACCUAGGAACGGCAUCUGAAACUAUUUAACUAGAGUAGGUGAGAGGGAAGUAGAAUUUCAGGUGUAGCGGUGAAAUGCGUAGAGAUCUGAAGGAAUACCGAUGGCGAAGGCAGCUUCCUGGCAUCAUACUGACACUGGGGCUCGAAAGCGUGGGUAGCAAACAGG
This 750-nucleotide ribosomal RNA is filed under the name uncultured bacterium. RNAcentral's name for it is "bacterial SSU rRNA". It matches the Rfam family "Bacterial small subunit ribosomal RNA", at positions 28 to 776 of the family's 1533-position model. The record is from RNAcentral.